CGCAGAGGCGGUGCUGCACGUUGUGCACCUUCAGGGCCGGCUGGAUGGGCCACCGCUCCGCACUCCUCCACCCUCCUCCACCCCGAGGCCUCCCCUGACCCGCGGGCGCCCACCUUAAGCUCCCUGGGCCCUGCAGACCUGCACACCCGAGGCGGACGGCGGAUUUGCCUUUGGCUUUGCCCCCCACCCCCGGACUUGGCAGAGGGGUUCCGGCGGGAAUCCGGGCUGGCGCUGGCGAUGCGCAGCCAGGGAAGGCGAGGCGUCCCUUCGGGGUGCUCUCCUGGAACGAGGAGGCGGGAUGCCCUCGCUGGGGUCCGGGGUCCCAGGGGCCCUUUGCACCCGCCGGAACCGUGCGCCCGCCCGACCCGGACCCGGGGACGCGGCCCUGGGAGCCGCGGCCAGUGACCUCCGCGCCCUCGCCGCGGGUCCGAGCGCAGGCAGAGGCCGGCCCGCAGCUCGCUGACCUUGGAUGCAAAGGGGGCCCUGGGGCGGGUGCUCCGGACCCCUCCUGUGGAUUACUUGGUGUGGAUCGGCCGGGCUCAGAAGACCCCGUCACCGUCCACGGAUGGAUUCAUUCUGCCUAGCGGUCGGGUCGCUCACCUGGAGGCUUGGGAAGCAGGAUGGGCAAAGGGUGGCCCUUCCUCACCCUCACCACCCACCAGGAUGCCUCCUGGAGCCAACGUGUGCCACCAGGCGCCCCCUGAACGUCCUGGCUCCCAUGCAACCAUCCCUUAAAAGGCAAGAACUCUGCGUGGGAUGGAGAAAUCUUACUUUGGAGAACAUCUAAAGAAGGUUCUGGGUUUGAGAAGACAUUCGAGGAGAAAGCAAAGACCCCCGCCCUGAGAAACAGUGGGAGUGAUGACCUGCAUGCAAUGGGGGACGCAUCGUUGCUGGGGGCAACCUACGGAGAAGACACCGGUGUCCCAGACCUUGCUUCUUCUUAUGGAAAACGCUUCCUCUGCAGCCACGGGCUCCGAAGGCUCCCCUGCUCCCAUCCAGGAACCCCACCCCUCUUUGCCCCCCACCUCCACGCCUGCUGCGCAGCGAUUCCUGUUUGCUCCCGCAUCUUCUGGCGGAUACAGAAUAAAUUGUUAACUACACUCAGGUCAAGCAGGAUCUGUGUUUUUUGUUCCUGCUUCUCAAGACACGGGUGUGCUGCUGCGCGCACGGCUUGGAGGCGGCUUCCUUCUCGUCUACUCGGGUCUGGUCGCAUGGGUUCCAGAGGGAUGCUGAUCGGUGCAGGACGUUCCUCGGGUGCUCGGGGACCCUGGCAGGGACUCCGGCGGGGGAGCUGGGUCCUGAAGGCUGGCAUUCUCUAUGCCCAACCGUCUCGGCCGGGAUCACACACGGGUAGACAUCUGGAGGAGCAGAAAAUGACUCUGUUGUUUAGUCCGGCUGCCUUCUGUUGAGCCAGCGGCAAGACCCUCUCCUCUCAGGUGGCCCUUGGGGUCCACACCAGAACUUGGGGCUUCUUUAUGGACCAUCCGGCUGCCGGCGCUGGUGGAAUUUAUGGCGGACCCUCUUGGCGGACCCUCUUCCUCCGGAGCGUCUGAUGACCACACACCCGCCAGUGGAUUGGGCCUCAUGCGACACAAGUCCUGUUCAUUUCGUUCGCUCUGUAGCCGCCAUAGGCAUGGACGGAAAUACGUCCUAGAUGUCUACUCAUGUCAGCCUUGGCCACAAUGCAUGGCCAAGCAGGUCUGUACUCGCAAUGUCCACAGUGAAUGGAUGGCUUGCCUUUGUAAGAAAGAAAGGAUUAAAGCGAGACCUGUGUAUCUUC
This is a long non-coding RNA of Pipistrellus kuhlii (Kuhl's pipistrelle), 1780 nucleotides long. RefSeq lists it as uncharacterized. NCBI's taxonomy places the organism in Eukaryota, Metazoa, Chordata, Mammalia, Chiroptera, Vespertilionidae. The record is from RefSeq and is a predicted model, not a curated record. The transcript is spliced from 2 exons.